This 253-nucleotide ribosomal RNA is filed under the name uncultured bacterium. RNAcentral's name for it is "partial 16S ribosomal RNA". It matches the Rfam family "Bacterial small subunit ribosomal RNA", at positions 524 to 776 of the family's 1533-position model. The record is from RNAcentral.
UACAGAGGGUGCAAGCGUUAAUCGGAAUUACUGGGCGUAAAGCGCGCGUAGGCGGCUGUCUAAGUCGGGUGUGAAAGCCCCGGGCUCGACCUGGGAACUGCAUUCGAUACUGGACGGCUAGAGUAUGAGAGAGGGAGGUAGAAUUCCACGUGUAGCGGUGAAAUGCGUAGAUAUUCGCAAGAACACCAGUGGCGAAGGCGGCUCACUGGCCCGAUACUGACGCUGAGGCACGAAAGCGUGGGGAGCAAACAGG